This 401-nucleotide ribosomal RNA is filed under the name Acanthopagrus latus (yellowfin seabream). RNAcentral describes it as "12S ribosomal RNA". Lineage: Eukaryota; Metazoa; Chordata; Actinopteri; Spariformes; Sparidae. The record is from RNAcentral.
CAAAGGUUUGGUCCUGACUUUUCUGCCAGCUCUAGCUAGAUUUACACAUGCAAGUAUCCGCAUCCCCGUGAGAAUGCCCUGUAGUUCCCUGCCCGGAAACAAGGAGCUGGUAUCAGGCACAUUUAAUUUAGCCCAUGACACCUUGCUAAGCCACACCCCCAAGGGUACUCAGCAGUGAUAAACAUUGAUACAUAAGUGAAAACUUGACUCAGUCAGAGCUAAGUAGGGCCGGUAAAACUCGUGCCAGCCACCGCGGUUAUACGGGAGGCCCAAGUUGUCAGAAGUCGGCGUAAAGGGUGGUUAAGAACAAGACUAAAAUUAAAGCCGAACAUCUUCCGAGCUGUUAUACGCAUCCGAAGGUAAGAAGCUCAACUACGAAAGUAGCUUUAUACAUUCUGAAA